ACUGUCCUGCGAUGUGCGUGGAUCGUUGAUUUUUGGGCCCAACACUUUUGUUGGACAGGGAGCCAUAUAGGCCGGGAACGUGACGCCCCGCUCGGCCGGGGUAAGCCGAACCGGCCCGAGGCGCCCACCUGGUUAGACAGGGUCCACAAAAACUCGCGUUCCACGGCAUACGCGGGACUUAU
Molecule: non-coding RNA, 182 nt
Filed under: Candidatus Hydrogenedentota bacterium
Lineage: Bacteria; Pseudomonadati; Candidatus Hydrogenedentota
Description: Candidatus Hydrogenedentes bacterium 6S RNA
Rfam family: 6S / SsrS RNA
About the family: E. coli 6S RNA was the first non coding RNA to be sequenced, but its function was unknown until recently.
Source: RNAcentral